This 77-nucleotide transfer RNA is filed under the name Bacilli bacterium. Its description in RNAcentral is "tRNA-Arg". It matches the Rfam family "tRNA". From Rfam's summary of the family: Transfer RNA (tRNA) molecules are approximately 80 nucleotides in length. Their secondary structure includes four short double-helical elements and three loops (D, anti-codon, and T loops). Further hydrogen bonds mediate the characteristic L-shaped molecular structure. tRNAs have two regions of fundamental functional importance: the anti-codon, which is responsible for specific mRNA codon recognition, and the 3' end, to which the tRNAs corresponding amino acid is attached (by aminoacyl-tRNA synthetases). tRNAs cope with the degeneracy of the genetic code in two manners: having more than one tRNA (with a specific anti-codon) for a particular amino acid; and 'wobble' base-pairing, i.e. permitting non-standard base-pairing at the 3rd anti-codon position. RNAcentral also lists the same sequence under 1 other name. The record is from RNAcentral. Lineage: Bacteria; Bacillati; Bacillota; Bacilli.
GUCCGCGUAGCUCAGCUGGAUAGAGCACUCGCCUUCUAAGCGAAUGGUCGCGUGUUCGAAUCACGCCGUGGACACCA